RNAcentral lists this ribosomal RNA (440 nucleotides) under uncultured bacterium. RNAcentral's name for it is "bacterial SSU rRNA". It matches the Rfam family "Bacterial small subunit ribosomal RNA", at positions 338 to 795 of the family's 1533-position model. The record is from RNAcentral.
CCUAGGGAGGCUGCAGUCGGGAAUUUUGCGCAAUGGGCGAAAGCCUGACAGAGCAACGCCGCGUGCAGGAGGACGCUUUUCGGAGUGUAAACUGCUUUUCUGUGGGAAGAGAGAGGACGGUACCACAGGAAGAAGCCCCGGCUAACUACGUGCCAGCAGCCGCGGUAAUACGUAGGGGGCGAGCGUUGUCCGGAGUUACUGGGCGUAAAGGGCAUGCAGGCGGUCGUACGCGUUUUGUGUGACAGCGGGUGGCUUAACUAUCCGAGUAUGCGAAAGACGGUAUGACUUGAGGGCUCGAGAGGGACACGGAAUUCCGGGUGGAGUGGUGAAAUGCGUAGAGAUCCGGAGGAACACCGAAGGCGAAGGCAGUGUCCUGGCGAGUGACUGACGCUGAGGUGCGAAAGCUAGGGGAGCGAACGGGAUUAGAUACCCGUGUAGUC